GGCGGCGUAGCUCAGUCGGUUAGAGCAGAGGAAUCAUAAUCCUCGUGUCCGGGGUUCAAGUCCCUGCGCCGCUA
This 74-nucleotide transfer RNA is filed under the name Candidatus Zixiibacteriota bacterium. Its description in RNAcentral is "candidate division Zixibacteria bacterium tRNA-Met". It matches the Rfam family "tRNA". Rfam says of the family: Transfer RNA (tRNA) molecules are approximately 80 nucleotides in length. Their secondary structure includes four short double-helical elements and three loops (D, anti-codon, and T loops). Further hydrogen bonds mediate the characteristic L-shaped molecular structure. tRNAs have two regions of fundamental functional importance: the anti-codon, which is responsible for specific mRNA codon recognition, and the 3' end, to which the tRNAs corresponding amino acid is attached (by aminoacyl-tRNA synthetases). tRNAs cope with the degeneracy of the genetic code in two manners: having more than one tRNA (with a specific anti-codon) for a particular amino acid; and 'wobble' base-pairing, i.e. permitting non-standard base-pairing at the 3rd anti-codon position. Lineage: Bacteria; Pseudomonadati; Candidatus Zixiibacteriota. The record is from RNAcentral.